AACGUAGGAGACAAACGUUAUCCGGAGUCACUGGGCGUAAAGGGCGUGUAGGUGGUUUCGUAAGUCUGGCGUGAAAUAUCUCGGCUUAACCGAGGCAGGUCGUCGGAUACUGCGGAACUGGAGGACGGUAGAGGCGUGUGGAAUUCCGGGUGUAGUGGUGAAAUGCGUAGAGAUCCGGAGGAACACCAGUGGCGAAGGCAGCUCGCUGGGACGGUACUGACGCUAAGGCGCGAAAGCGUGGGGAGCGAACAGG
This 253-nucleotide ribosomal RNA is filed under the name uncultured bacterium. RNAcentral describes it as "partial 16S ribosomal RNA". It matches the Rfam family "Bacterial small subunit ribosomal RNA", at positions 524 to 776 of the family's 1533-position model. The record is from RNAcentral.